UUAAAUUUAGUAUCAUUCAUCUAAUUAAUUUAAUUGCUAAACACUAAUCAAAUCAACAGGUUUGAUCCCUCACAACAGCCAUGUGUCACUGAACAAGCCACUGCUGACAAGAGCCUCUUCUAAAUGCAAUGCAACAUUUUAGUAGUAGAAGACUUUGGACUCUGCUUUCUCUAAAUGGUUUUACUGACAAGUGAUGUUGUGUUUACAUGUGUACAUCUCUACUUCAUGAAUUUAUUGUUGCUUUUUAUUCCCCAUUGACUUUCGUAUUCGUCUAAACUGCCGUCUGUAAACCAAAUUGCCUCUUGAAGCUCUAUGAAGGCAAACCAAAGUGUUAAACAGACCUACCUUUGUUCCCUCUGAUACUUUUGCAUUUAUUUCUUCAUACAGCUUCUUUCCCAAAGUUCUAAUC
This is a long non-coding RNA of Sander lucioperca (pikeperch), 409 nucleotides long. RefSeq lists it as uncharacterized. The transcript has 3 exons. The record is from RefSeq and is a predicted model, not a curated record. NCBI's taxonomy places the organism in Eukaryota, Metazoa, Chordata, Actinopteri, Perciformes, Percidae.